This is a long non-coding RNA of Salvia miltiorrhiza (redroot sage), 1116 nucleotides long. RefSeq lists it as uncharacterized. Lineage: Eukaryota; Viridiplantae; Streptophyta; Magnoliopsida; Lamiales; Lamiaceae. The transcript is spliced from 3 exons. The record is from RefSeq and is a predicted model, not a curated record.
UAAACUGAUUUCACCUAUAAAAGCCUCCAUCCUUUAACGCCUAUUCAUCCCAAAAUCAAUUCUUCUCAUUGAGCUUUCUACUUAAUUCAGCUUCCCAAUCUUGAGCUUCUUCUCAAUCAUAUUCUACAGCAGCUGAACAAUAGAAUAAUCUCAUAAUAAUUUCAUAAAACAAAGGAUCGCCUUUUACUCAACCAUCGACUGGCUUUGUGGAUCGUGAGGACUAGCACUGCUAUACCAAUUCAGAGUUAAGAAUAAACGACAGGCUUUGCCUAUUCAGGUGGGCUUAUUUUCCAAAUGUAUGAUUUAGCUAUUGAGCUUAAAUAUUUCAAUGAAAUGAAAACUGUUUAUCCAAUAAAUAUUUUUGUGCACUCUGCUCUGUUUAAGGCUCGCAUAAGUUAAUCGAUCGAGGUUCUCUUAUGACCUAACACGUUGUUUGAGAAUUGUGUACACCUAUUAGCUGACUCGGUGGGUUGAUCUCCAUCGGGCACUAAUCAUGUAUGAGGCGUUAUAAGGGUGCUCGACGGGAUGUGUUCCGGAGCAUUGGGUCCCAAAUGGGAGCUUGGCUGGGUUACGCCCUCAGUCCAAGUAAAGCAGGAGUAAUGGAUCCGUCGGUGGCUAAAAGGUCCGGGAUCACAGCGAGUAACGGAAAGGGAGUGUGACAAUUGCGCGCAAUAUAAUAAAAUGUUUUAACAUGCUUAGAAGUUAUUUUUGUUUUAAAACCUUCUAAGUCAUGUAAAGUAUAAUUGGAUAAACUGCUCUUAUGAUUAUGAAAUAUUUAUAAAAAUGCUAGCCCACUAAGUACAUUAGUACUUAGCCCAAAAUUUCUUUCAAAUGUUUUCAGGUUGAUUGGUCGGUGCUGACGGGGCAGAGCUGAGGCUAGGGUUCAACUCCGUAUUUUGUCUUCCGCUGUUGCACUAGCUCUUAUUUGUCUUUUAUUUCUCCAACUUAAGACUUUUAUGUUAAAUUCUGAAUUAUGUUUUCUUAUCGAGCUUAAACUCUCAACUUCUAGCUCUAUGUUAUUAACGUUGGUUAUCGGAAGCAUGAAACCGAACUUGUGAUCCUAAGGCUUAGAAUGUUGUUGAUUGAUUAAUAUCACUUGAUUUUUGUCUUUCUUCA